This 497-nucleotide ribosomal RNA is filed under the name uncultured bacterium. RNAcentral's name for it is "partial 16S ribosomal RNA". It matches the Rfam family "Bacterial small subunit ribosomal RNA", at positions 27 to 507 of the family's 1533-position model. The record is from RNAcentral.
GGGGGGGGGGGGGGGGGGGGGGGGUGGGGGGGGGGCGGGGGGAGGGGGGGGGGGCGUGCUGCUCGGGCGGUAGCGGCGGGCGGGUGAGUAACGCGUGGAUGACCUACCUAUAAGACUGGGAUAACUUCGGGACACCGGAGCUACUACCGGAUAAUCUCUUGAACCGCAUGGUUCCAUAGUGAAAGACGGUCUUGCUGUCACUUAUAGAUGGAUCCGCGCCGCAUUAGCUAGUUGUUAAGGUAACGGCUUACCAAGGCAACGAUGCGUAGCCGACCUGAGCGGGUGAUCGGCCACACUGGAACUGAGACACGGUCCAGACUCCUACGGGAGGCAGCAGUAGGGAAUCUUCCGCAAUGGGCGAAAGCCUGACGGAGCAACGCCGCGUGAGUGAUGAAGGUCUUCGGAUCGUAAAACUCUGUUAUUAGGGAAGAACAAAUGUGUAAGUAACUAUGCACGUCUUGACGGUACCUAAUCAGAAAGCCACGGCUAACUACGUG